AACGCACAUUGCGCCCCUUGGUAUUCCGGGGGGCAUGCCUGUUCGAGCGUCAUUU
Molecule: ribosomal RNA, 55 nt
Filed under: Lambertella subrenispora
Lineage: Eukaryota; Fungi; Ascomycota; Leotiomycetes; Helotiales; Rutstroemiaceae
Description: partial 5.8S ribosomal RNA
Source: RNAcentral